CUCUCUCUCUCUCUAGCUCCUUCUCUUUCUCUCUCUCUCUCUAUAUAUAUAUAUAUAGUAUUCAUUAUUGGCGAGAUUCCCAAAGGCUGGAGCGUCGGCCUUCUCGCCCACUCCAAUUUCGCUCCAGUAGUGCUAACUUAAUGAGCUCAGGGCAUGCCCGGCCCAGCAUGCAUUUGAUGUCUACUUGUGUGCUGCUAUAGCCCCUUGCUUUAGUUACUGUCAUGGUGUUCGCUAACUAUUUUCAUAAAGAAACUAAUAAAACACAGGUGCUAAAUCAAGAAAAGCUGUCAUCAAGGCAAUGGGUGGCUACUUUGAAGAAUCUAAAAAAUAAAAUAUAUUUUGAUUUGUUUAACACUUUUUUGGUUACUACAUGAUUCCAUAUGUGUUAUUUCAUAGUGUGGAUGUCUUCACUAUUAUUCUACAGAACAUAGGAAAAAAAUUGGAAAAAACAUUGAAUGAGUAGGUGUGUCCAAACUGUUGACUGGUAUUCAUUAUUAGACCUGUGUCCAUAUUUUCUAUGAAUUUCUAGUGGAUGUUUUAAGAGAACAAUGCCUAUUUAAUGAAAAGAGCAUCUAACCAACAAUGGCAUUAUUUUCAUUUGUAAUAAGGAAUACUAUAUAUCAAUACAAUUUCUGAAAGUUAUUCAAGUAUAAAUCAUCAAAGUUACCAUAGAUUGCCAUAAAUUACCUAUUAAUUACCCAAAUUACUGAAUAUUCUGGUAACUUUGCUAAAUGACUAUUAGCUUUGCAACCCUACCCUCAAUGCACUUAUUUGUCCACUACCUGAAAAUGAACAGGAUGGUAUAAUGAUCAAAAUUACAAUGUUUCCAGGUCAGGAAGAAGACAAGAACAAUAGGAAUGCGGGUCAAGAUGCCAGUCGGUCCUCUACUAUCACCAUCUGUAUAUAAAUGAACUCACACUGACACAAAUUUACCUUGCACUGAAAAACACACACAGUCAGCAAAACAAACAGAACAUUUUAAAUAGACACAUUAUCCAGAUGGCAAGUUCCAAAUUAUGGAACUAGCAUCUCCUUCUCGUGGUUAUUGAAAGUUCAUAGACGUUAUCAUAGAAUUUACUACAUAAAACACACUACAGAGUAUAUUGAGUUUUACAGUAUGUUAUUUCUCUACUCAGGUGGUCACCAUGCUGGAGAUGAAGAACCGGAAACUCCUAAAUCAAAUAAGAAGAUGCUGUGGAUUCUUUUGCCAGUCUUGGGAGUUGUGGUGGCUGCUGUCAUCUUCAUUUUCAAAUUUAAAUGCAUGAAGGUCCACGAUCACACAGAGGCAAUUGAUAAUGGAACAGAAAAUGCCUCUUUCCAGAGCAGGUCGGACAGCACCAAAGAUGGUGUCAUGCUUCUCGGGGUGAAGUCCUCAGGUGGUACGUUUAAACUGUUUACUUACUAGCAAGUUAGCAUUGUCAAUUGCUGUUAUAUAUUUCACAUGGUCCUCUUCAGCACAGUUCCUGCAGCUAUGGUGGAUGCUUAACCAGACCAGUGCAGUUUGGCUCGGCUCAGUAGUGUGAAAAGAUUCAACCAAGCAAUUAGUCCAAGCAGUUCCCAUGAUUCCUACCCUUCAAGUAAUCGAAAGACAAGGAGGAAAGCUUCAAUCAAAUGAUCAAAGUUCAAGAGAAACAUGCAUACUAGUAGUCUUCUACUUAACUUUUCCAAGUUCUCUGUCCUUUCCCCAUCCCUUUACAUUACAACUUUGUUUUAUCUGGCGUGGACAUGCAAUUAUUCCCGGGAAGCUGGGAGCCUUUAAUAUUUCAUUGUGCAUGUUCAGUAAUGGGCUUGGCCUGGGGAGAGCAGGGGAAGGUGUUUCCUGUGAUUUUUCGCCCCUCCCUUGAAAGACCAGCAGGGGAUGAAAGAUACAGGCUUCCUCACACAAACACAUAUUAUUUUGGACAGCCCCUAUUGUGUGGCUCCCUGGGCCGGCAAAUGUUUUAUUUUAAUUUUUUUUGUCAAUGUCAAUGUUUGCCGGUCAGACCCUGUGUGUAAAGUUCUUCUGCAAUUGUGUGAUCAAAUUAAGAUUCUACAUCUGUAGGUCUACCCUCCAAAUGGGAAUUGGGCAUAAAAAUCCCCACCUUCCUCUCUUUUCACUGUUUUUAUUUCUUUUUAUUUUAUUUCACCUUUAUUUAACCAGGUAGGCCAGUUGAGAACAAGUUCUCAUUUACAACUGCGACCUGGCCAAGAUAAAGCAAAGCAGUGCAACAAAAAAACAACAACACAGAGUUACACGUGGGAUAAACAAAAGUACAGUCAAUAACACAAUAGAAAAAUCUAUAUACAGUGUGUGCAAAUGGAGUGUAAUCAGAGCCUUGAGCUGUUGGCUAGUAGCUGAAGGGGGAAAUGGUGUCAGCGGUCAGGAAUUUUGCUGAGAGAGAAAGUGUUAGUUAGGGUUUUGAAUAACUGACUGCUAUUGUCACAAUUUAGGAUUUCUUUCAAUUUCCUUUUCAAUAAGCCUACACUUUAUUACAUCAAGUUGUUUUAAAGCUGUUUGGGAGAUUUGGAUGUUGCAGUCUCUGAGAGAUUUAUGAUGAAAUAAAAUGUAUAAGAGGCUUCUUUGACUAAAUCACUUUGGAUAAAGACAUCUGUCAAAAUGACCAUGUGGGCCACUGUCAUUUGCGCAACACAGUGCAAUUAACCCCUAGGUCUAGGGCUAUUGUCCCACUUUCAGCCGACACAGCCCAAACUCAGAUAUCUGGACAAUAAUACAAUACUGACCUCUACUGUUCUAUUGAGUAACCACAAAGUAAACACACCAGGGGUGAUUUCAACAGGAGGCAACGUUAUGUAACAUUCAGAUAGAAAUAUGCUAUGUAGAAUAAGGAAUCACGUCAGCUCUAUUCAUGGCAUUUCUAUGUGCAACGUUCGACAACGUUUGGCUACUGAAAUUCCUGUUGUAAUGGGAGGGAUGUUAUAAGGAGCGGUCUCAGUUAUACAACCACACCUCUCAAAUACUGUAUGAUCCUGGGUUGGGGUUUUAUAAUACAUAACCAGUUUGUUAAUUUUGAACUCUCCCUUUCAGCUGCUGCACGAUAAAAAGGAGGGCGUCCCAUUCUACAGUAUAUGACCAAUAGCUCUCACAACCCAAAAAAUGGUCAAGACCUUCAACUAUCUAAAAAUGCUGGACAAUCAAAUAUGGCGUAUAAGAAUCCCAAAAGCUAAGUGGGCACAUUCUUAUACUGUAUAGUGUGGAAAGAAGAUUGGUGUGGAGUAUUGUAGGAUAUGGGACUCUUAACUGAACAUGUGUCUGUUAAAAAAUGUUCACUAAGAUACUGUAUAUCAUUUCAAAAAUAUGUACUUCACUGUUUUUUGUAUUCUUAUUUUGAUGGUAAUUUAGCCAAGGAGGAACUGCGAUCUCAAUUUAAUCAAGACUAACAUCCAGACAUUUCAUUCAGGAAAACAAUGCAAGAUUUUGAAUGAAUAUAAAUAAAUUAACCCAAAAGCUCAUUGUCUGGGUGCAAGAGGAUUGUUUGUCUCAUCCCUGUAUUUAAGAUACUGGUUUUGAUUUUAUAUCACACAAACAUGUAUGAAAUCCAAAUGCAUUGAACCUGAAUUCAGCACACAAUUCCUUGGUUCAAACCAGUUAGUGACCAGUACACAUUAUUAAGUGUUUGUAUGCUUUAAAUCUGUUGUAAUAAAUGAUUUAGCUUUCAGUGUAAAUGCCAGGAUUGUAAAGAUUAGCUAUAUUGCCGGUAUGUUUCCUGCUUUUCAACCAGUUUUUGUGUAUAUUAGAGCAAACAAUAAGACUUCCCACUGGUCAAAGAUGAUUUGAAUUUCUCAAAUAAAGAAGAACGUUAUUUGACUGAUCGGCAUUGGUUGAAUAUUUGUUGUUUUGCACCUGUACAUGCUCACGAAAGUUUAUGUUGAUUUUGGAUGUUGAUUUCACCUGGC
This 3894-nucleotide long non-coding RNA is filed under the name Salmo salar (Atlantic salmon). Its description in RNAcentral is "lncRNA (ENSSSAG00000087584.1)". Lineage: Eukaryota; Metazoa; Chordata; Actinopteri; Salmoniformes; Salmonidae. The record is from RNAcentral.